This 458-nucleotide ribosomal RNA is filed under the name uncultured bacterium. Its description in RNAcentral is "bacterial SSU rRNA". It matches the Rfam family "Bacterial small subunit ribosomal RNA", at positions 29 to 533 of the family's 1533-position model. The record is from RNAcentral.
AACGAACGCUGGCGGCAGGCCUAACACAUGCAAGUCGAGCGAGGUAGCAAUACCUAGCGGCGGACGGGUGAGUAACGCGUGGGAACGUACCCUUUGCUACGGAAUAGCCCCGGGAAACUGGGAGUAAUACCGUAUGUGCCCUUCGGGGGAAAGAUUUAUCGGCAAAGGAUCGGCCCGCGUUGGAUUAGGUAGUUGGUGGGGUAAUGGCCUACCAAGCCGACGAUCCAUAGCUGGUUUGAGAGGAUGAUCAGCCACACUGGGACUGAGACACGGCCCAGACUCCUACGGGAGGCAGCAGUGGGGAAUCUUAGACAAUGGGCGCAAGCCUGAUCUAGCCAUGCCGCGUGAGUGAUGAAGGCCUUAGGGUUGUAAAGCUCUUUCAGAUGGGAAGAUAAUGACGGUACCAUCAGAAGAAGCCCGGCUAACUCCGUGCCAGCAGCCGCGGUAAUGUACAGUGU